CCCUUAGAUGUUCUGGGCUGCACGCGCGCUACACUGAAGCGUUCAACGAGUAUUUCACCUUGCCCGGGAGGGUUGGGUAAUCUUUUUAAAACGCUUCGUGAUGGGGAUAGAUUAUUGCAAUUAUUAAUCUUCAACGAGGAAUUCCUAGUAAGCGCGAGUCAUCAGCUCGUGCUGAUUACGUCCCUGCCCUUUGUACACACCGCCCGUCGCUCUUACCGAUUGAGUGAUCCGGUGAAUAAUUCGGACUGCAGCAGUGCUUGGUCCUCCGGGCUUUGCAGCGGAAAGUUUAGUGAACCUUAUCACUUAGAGGAAGGAGAAGUCGUANCA
This 327-nucleotide ribosomal RNA is filed under the name uncultured eukaryote. RNAcentral describes it as "partial 18S ribosomal RNA". It matches the Rfam family "Eukaryotic small subunit ribosomal RNA", at positions 1470 to 1796 of the family's 1831-position model. The record is from RNAcentral.